Molecule: ribosomal RNA, 404 nt
Filed under: uncultured bacterium
Lineage: Bacteria
Description: bacterial SSU rRNA
Rfam family: Bacterial small subunit ribosomal RNA
Source: RNAcentral
UUUUGGACAAUGGGCGCAAGCCUGAUCCAGCCAUGCCGCGUGAGUGAAGAAGGCCUUCGGGUUGUAAAGCUCUUUCGGCGGGGACGAAACGGUUCGUGCUAAUACCACGGACUACUGACGGUACCCGCAGAAGAAGCACCGGCUAACUACGUGCCAGCAGCCGCGGUAAUACGUAGGGUGCGAGCGUUAAUCGGAAUUACUGGGCGUAAAGCGUGCGCAGGCGGUUUCGUAAGCUGGAGGUGAAAUCCCCGGGCUUAACCUGGGAAUGGCCUUCAGGACUGCGAGGCUAGAGUGCGGCAGAGGGAGGUGGAAUUCCACGUGUAGCAGUGAAAUGCGUAGAGAUGUGGAGGAACACCGAUGGCGAAGGCAGCCUCCUGGGCCAGCACUGACGCUCAUGCACGAAA